GUGGGGAAUAUUGGACAAUGGGCGAAAGCCUGAUCCAGCAAUGCCGCGUGAGUGAUGAAGACCUUAGGGUUGUAAAGCUCUUUUACCAGGGAUGAUAAUGACAGUACCUGGAGAAUAAGCUCCGGCUAACUCCGUGCCAGCAGCCGCGGUAAUACGGAGGGAGCUAGCGUUGUUCGGAAUUACUGGGCGUAAAGCGCACGUAGGCGGUUACUCAAGUCAGAGGUGAAAGCCCGGGGCUCAACCCCGGAACUGCCUUUGAAACUAGGUAACUAGAAUCUUGGAGAGGUCAGUGGAAUUCCGAGUGUAGAGGUGAAAUUCGUAGAUAUUCGGAAGAACACCAGUGGCGAAGGCGACUGACUGGACAAGUAUUGACGCUGAGGUGCGAAAGCGUGGGGAGCAAACAGGAUUAGAUACCCCUGUAGUCC
RNAcentral lists this ribosomal RNA (425 nucleotides) under uncultured bacterium. RNAcentral describes it as "partial 16S ribosomal RNA". It matches the Rfam family "Bacterial small subunit ribosomal RNA", at positions 354 to 796 of the family's 1533-position model. The record is from RNAcentral.